RNAcentral lists this transfer RNA (81 nucleotides) under Acropora cervicornis. RNAcentral describes it as "tRNA-Leu". The record is from RNAcentral. Lineage: Eukaryota; Metazoa; Cnidaria; Anthozoa; Scleractinia; Acroporidae.
GACCGUGUGAGCGUUAACCCAAGUGAUGGAAUUGGGCCCACACAAACCCGAAGGUCGUGGGUUCAAUUCCCACCUUGGUCA